UGAAAAGACUGUCAUUUCCCCACUGCUCCACAUGUCCACCUUUGUUUUUCAACUCUAUUCUGCUGCUAUCAAUACACCUGACUACAUUUCAGUCUUCAUCAGUCUGAGUUUUCUUUUUCCAAGAAAUUCCAAUCUUAUUUUGGUAAAGGUCUCUUCUAUUACAUCUUUGAAUUUUUUUUUAUUCCUUCUGCUUUAUUCUUUAACCCAGGAUAUCAAGUAUCCACAAGUUCAAAACUCAUCUUCUGCGAACCAUAUCCUUCUUUCUCUAAUGGUUCUCAUUCCUUUGACUUUUUCCUCCACAUUAUGUGCAAUUUUUUUCAAGCUUGCCCUUCCUUGUACUAAUUCCAGUUUCUGUCCGGUACUCUGAUGAACAUCUCAGUUCUGUGGAUUAUUCAGUCCUUGCCUUUUCCCUAGCUCUGCGAUCUCUCUCCUCCCCUUUCUGUUGUCCUAGCAUCUCAUCUUUAAUCUCGGGUCAUAAAUGUCAUGUUCCGUUUAACAUCUUUGAUAAAAUAAGGCUUUUGUUUUUCUGUUUCCUCAAGGUAACAUCUUCUACAAUCGAUUCUUCAUGUCUUUUAUCUGUUUUGUUCUUUUUUGUUGUAUGUGAAUACCAUAUUUUUUUCAUUUACUUAUUUUUUACAGCAGCAGCUCAAUCUGGAUUUCUUUGUGCCUAAAUCUAACAAACAUAGAGUCUCCUUGGCUUCCCUCCUGUGUCAUCAGAGCCCACUAGUGCCUUUCCUUCAACUAGCAUUGAGAAGGUAAUGGAGCUAAGGUGUAUGGACAGUCACAACUGGUGACCUUACCUGUCAACAAAAUUAUGUUAAAACUCAAAUUUUAGAGAUCACUCCCCCUACUCGAGUAUACAGCCUUUUAGGAACCACUCUUGAGUUUAGGACUGUAGGUGAAUGGGCGUGAACAGGCUUUCUGGAAACUGCCUUGACAACAAUCCCUGUUCAUACUCAAGCCGGCAGACAAUCUGGCAACCUCCACCCCCUGUACCCGCCCCAGGCAGCUCCGGGGCAGGCACAAGCUGUGAAAGGACAGUGUUUACCCAGCUGGGGUAAUAAAUUCUCCCAGAGCACUGAGACAUAUUUAACGUAGAAUGAGUGUUGACAUAUGUCAUUUUCCCAGGGAAGAGUUUUCUAACGUUGCACCAUAGAAAUGGACUGGCAAAAUGACUCUCCACACAUGCAUGAACUCUUUUCUAUUAAGGAUGGUUACAUCUUGAGCACAAGAGGAAAACUGCUGCCUUGUAUUAAACUGAAUUCUAAGUGGUAAAAAAGAUAACUCCGUCUUCCUUCCGGAAACUUGGCAUGACCCCUGGCUCUGACUGGGAGCUUCUCUUCUCUGUUCCCACGGUGUCCUGUGAACCCAUCAACCACACCACUUACAGCACAAUGGUGAAACCACUGACCUGCAUGCCCGUCCUCUCUCCCACACUAUACACUCUAUCCUAUUCAUCUCUGGCAUUCUAACAUCUGGGCAGAGGCUGUUUCCUAGCAAUGGGCUCAGGCUGGGUAAAAUCACCUGGAACAAAAUGUCAUGGGUCCCUUCCUGCUCUGUGAGUAUCCUGCCAUACGCACACUUAUCCACCCUGCCUGCUCCUCCCCUUGGCCGGCAGCCUAAGGACUAUUAAUACAGAACAGCGUGAUCAGCUCCCACGGCCUUUGCCCAUGACCACCUGCCACAUCGCUUUCAGCAUCACGCUCCGCUUUCAGUACAAAACAGGAAGGAAAAGUGGCACGGGCAACACAGCAACUGAAAUGUGGUCGCAGGGCCUUCACCGUCUUGCACAGUGGAAGCAACCCGUGUGUGAUGUGAGAGCUCCGUGUAAAAAGCAGUCACGAAGCUGCGGUAUUGGAAGGAUCUGCACAUCAUCUGGCAAUCAGCAAGGAAUGGACCAACAAAGAGGGAGCUCAGAGGAACAGACACACAGAAGAGAUCCUUGAGUAGAGAUGCCGCCUCGCAAUCUUCACUUCUGAGAACAAGGGAGUAAUCAUAGGCCAAUCUUGGGAAAUGCACCCAGAAAGGAAGUAUCUAGAAGUAUGGUUUAGAGGAAGACUGCAGUGGGGAAGAAUGAAAUAGAAGAACAAUAAGAACAGCAUCACUGGGGCAUAAACUGACAGAAGACGUGGAAGGGCUCACACUCCACGCAUGACACAAAAUUCCAAUCAGCUAUAUCCUCAGGGUAAAACUGAAUGGCAUAACAUCCUGAAUGUGUCCAAUCUCGUCUACAGCCUGAAUUGGACCAAAGACCAAAGUCCACACCCCUCAAUCUCCCCCAGUCUUUAGGUGUAAUAAUAUAAAUAGUUUAUAUCCACCAUA
This is a long non-coding RNA of Herpailurus yagouaroundi (jaguarundi), 2322 nucleotides long. RefSeq lists it as uncharacterized. NCBI's taxonomy places the organism in Eukaryota, Metazoa, Chordata, Mammalia, Carnivora, Felidae. The record is from RefSeq and is a predicted model, not a curated record. The transcript is spliced from 6 exons.